This 491-nucleotide ribosomal RNA is filed under the name uncultured bacterium. Its description in RNAcentral is "partial 16S ribosomal RNA". It matches the Rfam family "Bacterial small subunit ribosomal RNA", at positions 29 to 506 of the family's 1533-position model. The record is from RNAcentral.
AGUGAACGCUGGCGGUAGGCCUAACACAUGCAAGUCGAACGGCAGCACAGUAAGAGCUUGCUCUUACGGGUGGCGAGUGGCGGACGGGUGAGGAAUACAUCGGAAUCUACUUUUUCGUGGGAGAUAACGUAGGGAAACUUACGCUAAUACCGCAUACGACCUACGGGUGAAAGCAGGGGAUCUUCGGACCUUGCGCGAUUGAAUGAGCCAAUGUCGGAUUAGCUAGUUGGCGGGGUAAAGGCCCACCAAGGCGACGAUCCGUAGCUGGUCUGAGAGGAUGAUCAGCCACACUGGAACUGAGACACGGUCCAGACUCCUACGGGAGGCAGCAGUGGGGAAUAUUGGACAAUGGGCGCAAGCCUGAUCCAGCCAUACCGCGUGGGUGAAGAAGGCCUUCGGGUUGUAAAGCCCUUUUGUUGGGAAAGAAAAGCAGCAGGUUAAUACCCCGCUGUUCUGACGGUACCCAAAGAAUAAGCACCGGCUAACUUCGU